Cynoglossus semilaevis (tongue sole) is the source of this 254-nucleotide long non-coding RNA. RefSeq lists it as uncharacterized. The transcript has 3 exons. The record is from RefSeq and is a predicted model, not a curated record. Lineage: Eukaryota; Metazoa; Chordata; Actinopteri; Pleuronectiformes; Cynoglossidae.
AAUCCAGGCUGUUAUCUUUGGGGAUGGACCACUGUCUGGUGGAGUAUGACCUGGAAAAAAGUGAAGUGAAUCAGCUCGUCAUUCUGAGCUCAGAGCGACUUGAGCAAAGGGCCGUGCCUACAUGCAUGACAUGGUAUCCUCCCCUGUCAACGGAACAGUUUCUUCUUAUUGCCACAGAGCAGUACAAAAUAAAACUGUUCAACAGUACGACCAAGAUGUGUAGGAAGACCCUACUUGGCCCAACAUAUGGCUCC